UACGAAGGGGGCUAGCGUUGCUCGGAAUCACUGGGCGUAAAGGGUGCGUAGGCGGGUCUUUAAGUCAGGGGUGAAAUCCUGGAGCUCAACUCCAGAACUGCCUUUGAUACUGAGGAUCUUGAGUUCGGGAGAGGUGAGUGGAACUGCGAGUGUAGAGGUGAAAUUCGUAGAUAUUCGGAAGAACACCAGUGGCGAAGGCGACUCACUGGACACGUAUUGACGCUGAGGUGCGAAAGCCAGGGGAGCGAACGGG
RNAcentral lists this ribosomal RNA (253 nucleotides) under uncultured bacterium. Its description in RNAcentral is "partial 16S ribosomal RNA". It matches the Rfam family "Bacterial small subunit ribosomal RNA", at positions 524 to 776 of the family's 1533-position model. The record is from RNAcentral.